Molecule: ribosomal RNA, 257 nt
Filed under: uncultured Pseudomonas sp.
Lineage: Bacteria; Pseudomonadati; Pseudomonadota; Gammaproteobacteria; Pseudomonadales; Pseudomonadaceae
Description: partial 16S ribosomal RNA
Rfam family: Bacterial small subunit ribosomal RNA
Source: RNAcentral
CGGCGGACGGGUGAGUAAUGCCUAGGAAUCUGCCUGGUAGUGGGGGACAACGUUUCGAAAGGAACGCUAAUACCGCAUACGUCCUACGGGAGAAAGCAGGGGACCUUCGGGCCUUGCGCUAUCAGAUGAGCCUAGGUUGGAUUAGCUAGUUGGUGAGGUAAUGGCUCACCAAGGCGACGAUCCGUAACUGGUCUGAGAGGAUGAUCAGUCACACUGGAACUGAGACACGGUCCAGACUCCUACGGGAGGCAGCAGGU